UAAUACAUGCAAGUCGAGCGAGCUUGCCUAGAUGAUUUUAGUGCUUGCACUAAAUGAAACUAGAUACAAGCGAGCGGCGGACGGGUGAGUAACACGUGGGUAACCUGCCCAAGAGACUGGGAUAACACCUGGAAACAGAUGCUAAUACCGGAUAACAACACUAGACGCAUGUCUAGAGUUUGAAAGAUGGUUCUGCUAUCACUCUUGGAUGGACCUGCGGUGCAUUAGCUAGUUGGUAAGGUAACGGCUUACCAAGGCAAUGAUGCAUAGCCGAGUUGAGAGACUGAUCGGCCACAUUGGGACUGAGACACGGCCCAAACUCCUACGGGAGGCAGCAGUAGGGAAUCUUCCACAAUGGACGAAAGUCUGAUGGAGCAACGCCGCGUGAGUGAAGAAGGGUUUCGGCUCGUAAAGCUCUGUUGGUAGUGAAGAAAGAUAGAGGUAGUAACUGGCCUUUAUUUGACGGUAAUUACUUAGAAAGUCACGGCUAACUACGUGCCAGCAGCCGCGGUAAUAC
This 517-nucleotide ribosomal RNA is filed under the name Lactobacillus johnsonii. Its description in RNAcentral is "bacterial SSU rRNA". It matches the Rfam family "Bacterial small subunit ribosomal RNA", at positions 49 to 526 of the family's 1533-position model. The record is from RNAcentral. Lineage: Bacteria; Bacillati; Bacillota; Bacilli; Lactobacillales; Lactobacillaceae.